GAUGAACGCUGGCGGCGUGCUUAACACAUGCAAGUCGAACGGUGAAGCUCCAGCUUGCUGGAGUGGAUCAGUGGCGAACGGGUGAGUAACACGUGAGCAACCUGCCCCUGACUCUGGAAUAAGCGCUGGAAACGGCGUCUAAUACUGGAUACGAGAAGGGUCCGCAUGGGCACUUUCUGGAAAGUUUUUCGGUUGGGGAUGGGCUCGCGGCCUAUCAGCUUGUUGGUGAGGUAAUGGCUCACCAAGGCGACGACGGGUAGCCGGCCUGAGAGGGCGACCGGCCACACUGGGACUGAGACACGGCCCAGACUCCUACGGGAGGCAGCAGUGGGGAAUAUUGCACAAUGGGCGAAAGCCUGAUGCAGCGACGCCGCGUGAGGGAUGACGGCCUUCGGGUUGUAAACCUCUUUCAGCAGGGAAGAAGCGAAAGUGACGGUACCUGCAGAAGAAGCACCGGCUAACUACGUG
RNAcentral lists this ribosomal RNA (468 nucleotides) under uncultured bacterium. RNAcentral's name for it is "partial 16S ribosomal RNA". It matches the Rfam family "Bacterial small subunit ribosomal RNA", at positions 28 to 507 of the family's 1533-position model. The record is from RNAcentral.